GUCUGGGAAACUGCCCGAUGGAGGGGGAUAACUACUGGAAACGGUAGCUAAUACCGCAUAACGUCUUCGGACCAAAGUGGGGGACCUUCGGGCCUCACACCAUCGGAUGUGCCCAGAUGGGAUUAGCUAGUAGGUGGGGUAAUGGCUCACCUAGGCGACGAUCCCUAGCUGGUCUGAGAGGAUGACCAGCCACACUGGAACUGAGACACGGUCCAGACUCCUACGGGAGGCAGCAGUGGGGAAUAUUGCGCAAUGGGGGAAACCCUGACGCAGCAAUGCCGCGUGAGUGAGGAAGGCCUU
RNAcentral lists this ribosomal RNA (300 nucleotides) under uncultured Enterobacteriaceae bacterium. RNAcentral's name for it is "bacterial SSU rRNA". It matches the Rfam family "Bacterial small subunit ribosomal RNA", at positions 115 to 418 of the family's 1533-position model. The record is from RNAcentral. Lineage: Bacteria; Pseudomonadati; Pseudomonadota; Gammaproteobacteria; Enterobacterales; Enterobacteriaceae.